This 36-nucleotide transfer RNA is filed under the name Begonia labordei. RNAcentral describes it as "partial tRNA-Phe". The record is from RNAcentral. Lineage: Eukaryota; Viridiplantae; Streptophyta; Magnoliopsida; Cucurbitales; Begoniaceae.
CGGGCGGGGAUCUCCAGUUGGGAAGACCAAAAAAGU